This 455-nucleotide ribosomal RNA is filed under the name uncultured Bacteroidota bacterium. RNAcentral's name for it is "bacterial SSU rRNA". It matches the Rfam family "Bacterial small subunit ribosomal RNA", at positions 74 to 523 of the family's 1533-position model. The record is from RNAcentral. Lineage: Bacteria; Pseudomonadati; Bacteroidota.
GAUAGUUUACUAUUUUGGUGGCGACCGGCGCACGGGUGAGUAACGCGUAUGUAACCUACCUUAUACAGGAGUAUAGCCCGAAGAAAUUCGGAUUAAUCCUCCAUAGUAUUUUCUAAUGGCAUCAUUUGGAAAAUUAAAGCUUCGGCGGUAUAAGAUGGGCAUGCGUCCUAUUAGCUAGAUGGUAAGGUAAUGGCUUACCAUGGCUACGAUAGGUAGGGGGCCUGAGAGGGUGAUCCCCCACACUGGUACUGAGACACGGACCAGACUCCUACGGGAGGCAGCAGUGAGGAAUAUUGGUCAAUGGGCGCAAGCCUGAACCAGCCAUGCCGCGUGCAGGAAGAAUGCCCUAUGGGUUGUAAACUGCUUUUAUUUAGGAAUAAACCCCUCUACGUGUAGAGGGCUGAAUGUACUAAACGAAUAAGCACCGGCUAACUCCGUGCCAGCAGCCGCGGUAA